CCUACGGGGGGCAGCAGUGAGGAAUAUUGGUCAAUGGACGCAAGUCUGAACCAGCCAUGCCGCGUGCAGGAAGACGGCUCUAUGAGUUGUAAACUGCUUUUGUACGAGGGUAAACGCAGAUACGCGUAUCUGUUUGAAAAUAUCGUACGAAUAAGGAUCGGCUAACUCCGUGCCAGCAGCCGCGGUAAUACGGAGGAUUCAAGCGUUAUCCGGAUUUAUUGGGUUUAAAGGGUGCGUAGGCGGACGGAUAAGUUAGAGGUGAAAGCCCGGGGCUCAACUUCGGAAUUGCCUCUGAUACUGUUGGUCUAGAGAGUAGGUGAGGUAGGCGGAAUGUAUGGUGUAGCGGUGAAAUGCUUAGAGAUCAUACAGAACACCGAUUGCGAAGGCAGCUUACCAAGCUACAUCUGACGUUGAGGCACGAAAGCGUGGGGAGCAAACAGGAUUAGAUACCCGAGUAGUC
This 460-nucleotide ribosomal RNA is filed under the name uncultured bacterium. RNAcentral describes it as "partial 16S ribosomal RNA". It matches the Rfam family "Bacterial small subunit ribosomal RNA", at positions 338 to 795 of the family's 1533-position model. The record is from RNAcentral.